AAUAGAUACCCAGGUAGUCCGCGCCGUAAACGAUGAGUGCUAAGUGUUAGAGGGUUUCCGCCCUUUAGUGCUGCAGCUAACGCAUUAAGCACUCCGCCUGGGGAGUACGGCCGCAAGGCUGAAACUCAAAGGAAUUGACGGGGGCCCGCACAAGCGGUGGAGCAUGUGGUUUAAUUCGAAGCAACGCGAAGAACCUUACCAGGUCUUGACAUCCUCUGCCAACCCUAGAGAUAGGGCGUUCCCCUUCGGGGGACAGAGUGACAGGUGGUGCAUGGUUGUCGUCAGCUCGUGUCGUGAGAUGUUGGGUUAAGUCCCGCAACGAGCGCAACCCUUGAUCUUAGUUGCCAGCAUUCAGUUGGGCACUCUAAGGUGACUGCCGGUGACAAACCGGAGGAAGUGGGGAUGACGUCAAAUCAUCAUGCCCCUUAUGACCUGGGCUACACACGUGCUACAAUGGAUGGUACAAAGAGCUGCGAACCCGUGAGGGUAAGCGAAUCUCAUAAAGCCAUUCUCAGUUCGGAUUGU
RNAcentral lists this ribosomal RNA (525 nucleotides) under uncultured bacterium. RNAcentral describes it as "bacterial SSU rRNA". It matches the Rfam family "Bacterial small subunit ribosomal RNA", at positions 777 to 1301 of the family's 1533-position model. The record is from RNAcentral.